This 620-nucleotide ribosomal RNA is filed under the name Synchytrium endobioticum. Its description in RNAcentral is "SSU rRNA". It matches the Rfam family "Eukaryotic small subunit ribosomal RNA", at positions 656 to 1280 of the family's 1831-position model. Lineage: Eukaryota; Fungi; Chytridiomycota; Chytridiomycetes; Synchytriales; Synchytriaceae. The record is from RNAcentral.
GGUGGUCGAUCGCAAGGUCAGUACUGUUCUGAUUGAGCUCAAAUUUCUUGGGGAACUUGGGUGCUCUUUGCUGAGUGCUCAAGGGAACCGAGACUUUUACUGUGAAGAAAUUAGAGUGUUUAAAGCAAGCAUCUGCUUGAAUACAUUAGCAUGGAAUAAUGAAAUAUGACUGUGGUCUUAUUUUGUUGGUUUCCAAGGCCAAAGUAAUGAUUAAAAGGGACAGUUGGGGGCAUUAGUAUUUCAUUGUCAGAGGUGAAAUUCUUGGACCAAUGAAAGACUGACUUCUGCGAAAGCAUUUGCCAAGGAUGUUUUCAUUGAUCAAGAACGAAAGUUAAGGGAUCGAAGACGAUCAGAUACCGUCGUAGUCUUAACUAUAAACGAUGCCAACUAUGGAUCGGGCGAGUAUAUGUAAAUGUCUCGCUUGGCACGUCAUGAGAAAUCAAAGUUUUUGGGUUCUGGGGGGAGUAUGGUCGCAAGGCUGAAACUUAAAGGGAUUGACGGAAGGGCACCACCAGGAGUGGAGCCUGCGGCUUAAUUUGACUCAACACGGGAAACCUCACCAGGUUUAGACAUGGUUAGGAUUGACAGAUUGAGAGCUCUUUCUUGAUUUUAUGGGGUGG